AUUGAACGCUGGCGGCAUGCCUUACACAUGCAAGUCGAACGGUAACAGGUCUUCGGAUGCUGACGAGUGGCGAACGGGUGAGUAAUACAUCGGAACGUGCCUAGUAGUGGGGGAUAACUACUCGAAAGAGUGGCUAAUACCGCAUGAGAUCUACGGAUGAAAGCAGGGGAUCGCAAGACCUUGUGCUACUAGAGCGGCCGAUGGCAGAUUAGGUAGUUGGUGGGAUAAAAGCUUACCAAGCCGACGAUCUGUAGCUGGUCUGAGAGGACGAUCGGCGCCACUGGGACUGAGACACGGCCCAGACUCCUACGGGCGGCAGCAGUGGGGAAUUUUGGACGAUGGGCGCAAGCCUGAUCCAGCAAUGCCGCGUGCAGGAUGAAGGCCUUCGGGUUGUAAACUGCUUUUGUACGGAACGAAAAGCCCCGGGUUAAUACCCUGGGGUCAUGACGGUACCGUAAGAAUAAGCACCGGCUAACUACGUGCCAGCAGCCGCGGUAA
RNAcentral lists this ribosomal RNA (498 nucleotides) under uncultured bacterium. RNAcentral describes it as "partial 16S ribosomal RNA". It matches the Rfam family "Bacterial small subunit ribosomal RNA", at positions 30 to 523 of the family's 1533-position model. The record is from RNAcentral.